GUACAAUAAGCAAAAUAAGGGCGUAUGGGGGAUGCCUUGGCUCUCAGAGGCGAUGAAAGGCGUGAUAAGCUGCGAAAAGCUACGGGGACGGGCACACACCGAUUGAUCCGUAGAUACCUGAAUGGGGCAACCCACUAUGUUGAAGACAUAGUACACCGAUAGGUGGGCAAACCCGCUGAACUGAAACAUCUAAGUAGGCGGAGGAGAAGAAAACAAAAGUGAUUCCGUAAGUAGUGGCGAGCGAACGCGGAUUAGCCCAAACCAGUGUUGUUACGGCAAUGCUGGGGUUGUAGGACCACGAUAUUUCAUGCACAAAGAACCAGAAUCUACUGGAAAGUAGGACCAGAGAGGGUGAUAGUCCUGUAUGGGUAAUGAGUGUAAUGGAUAGUGGUAUCCUGAGUAGGGCGGGGCACGUGAAACCCUGUCUGAAUUUGGCGGGACCAUCCGCUAAGGCUAAAUACUCCUGAGAGACCGAUAGUGAACCAGUACCGUGAGGGAAAGGUGAAAAGAACCGUGAAUAACGGAGUGAAAUAGAUCCUGAAACCAUACGCUUACAAGCGGUCGGAGCCCUUUCGUGGGGUGACGGCGUGCCUUUUGCAUAAUGAGCCUACGAGUUAACGUUGCUGGCAAGGAUAAGUGGUUAAGCCACGGAUCCGUAGCGAAAGCGAGUCUGAAUAGGGCGCUUUAGUCAGUAGUGUUAGACGCGAAACCGUGUGAUCUACCCAUGGGCAGGAUGAAGCUGUGGUAACACACAGUGGAGGUCCGAACCGGUUGACGUUGAAAAGUCUUCGGAUGACCUGUGGGUAGGGGUGAAAGGCCAAUCAAACUCGGAAAUAGCUCGUACUCCCCGAAAUGCAUUUAGGUGCAGCGUUAUUUUAGUUAUAUAGAGGUAGAGCUACUGAUUGGAUGCGGGGGCUUCACCGCCUACCAAUUCCUGACAAACUCCGAAUGCUAUAUAAUGAUUGAUAACAGUGAGGGCUUGGGUGCUAAGGUCCAAGUCCGAGAGGGAAAGAACCCAGACCAUCAGCUAAGGUCCCCAAAUAUACGCUAAGUUGAAAGAACGAGGUUUGUCUGCCCAGACAGCUAGGAUGUUGGCUUGGAAGCAGCCAUUCAUUUAAAGAGUGCGUAACAGCUCACUAGUCGAGCGGACGAGCAUGGAUAAUAAUCGGGCAUAAGCGUAUUACCGAAGCUAUGGAUUUAGAGUUUACUCUAAGUGGUAGGGGAGCAUUCUAACAGGGUUGAAGGUGUAUCGUAAGGUAUGCUGGACUGGUUAGAAAAGAAAAUGUAGGCAUAAGUAACGAUAAUGCGGGCGAGAAACCCGCACACCGAAAAACUAAGGUUUCCACAGCUAUGCUAAUCAGCUGUGGGUUAGUCUGGUCCUAAGGCGAACCCGAAAGGGACAGUCGAUGGCUAACGGGUUAAUAUUCCCGUACUACUAAUUACUGUGAUGGGGUGACGGAGUGAUGAAAGCGCCGCGAACUGACGGAAUAGUUCGUUGAAGUACCUACCUAUAAUANNNNNNNNNNNNNNNNNNNNNNNNNNNNNNNNNNNNNNNNNNNNNNNNNNNNNNNNNNNNNNNNNNNNNNNNNNNNNNNNNNNNNNNNNNNAUAAGAUCUGCAGGCAAAUCCACAGAUUUUGGGGAAAUACGAUAGUACUCGGAGUCUUCGGACAAAGAGAUAGUGCGCCUAAGGGCUUCCAAGAAAAACCUCUAAACUUCAGGUAAUUAGUACCAGUACCGUAAACCGACACAGGUAGUUGAGGAGAGAAUCCUAAGGUGCUCGAGAGAUUCAUGGCUAAGGAAUUAGGCAAAAUAGACCUGUAACUUCGGGAGAAAGGUCGCCAGCGCAAGCUGGCCGCAGUGAAGAGGUCCAGGCGACUGUUUAUCAAAAACACAGGGCUCUGCAAAAUCGUAAGAUGAAGUAUAGGGCCUGACACCUGCCCGGUGCUGGAAGGUUAAGAGGAGAUGUUAUCUUCGGAGAAGCAUUGAAUUGAAGCCCCAGUAAACGGCGGCCGUAACUAUAACGGUCCUAAGGUAGCGAAAUUCCUUGUCGGGUAAGUUCCGACCUGCACGAAUGGUGUAACGAUCUGGACACUGUCUCAGCCAUGAGCUCGGUGAAAUUGUAGUAACGGUGAAGAUGCCGUUUACCCGCAGUGGGACGAAAAGACCCUGUGCACCUUUACUAUAGCUUAGUAUUGACCUUGGAUAAAUGAUGUGUAGGAUAGGUUGGAGACUAUGAAGCGGCGUCGCCAGGCGUUGUGGAGUCAUUGUUGAAAUACAACCCUUUGUUUAUCUGAGGCCUAACCCCGUAUUGCGGGGGACAUUGCUUGGUGGGUAGUUUGACUGGGGUGGUCGCCUCCAAAAGAGUAACGGAGGCUUCUAAAGGUUCCCUCAGUACGCUUGGUAACCGUGCGUAGAGUGCAAUGGCAUAAGGGAGCUUGACUGAGAGACAUACAGGUCGAUCAGGUACGAAAGUAGAGCAUAGUGAUCCGGUGGUUCCGCAUGGAAGGGCCAUCGCUCAAAGGAUAAAAGGUACGCCGGGGAUAACAGGCUGAUCUCCCCCAAGAGCUCAUAUCGACGGGGGGGUUUGGCACCUCGAUGUCGGCUCGUCACAUCCUGGGGCUGGAGAAGGUCCCAAGGGUUGGGCUGUUCGCCCAUUAAAGUGGCACGCGAGCUGGGUUCAGAACGUCGUGAGACAGUUCGGUCUCUAUCUACUGUGGGCGUUAGAAAUUUGAGUGGAUCUGAUUCUAGUACGAGAGGACCGAAUUGGACAAACCUCUAGUGUAUCUGUUGUCCCGCCAGGGGCACCGCAGAGUAGCUACGUUUGGAAGGGAUAAGCGCUGAAAGCAUAUAAGCGCGAAACCCACCACAAGAUGAGAUUUCUUUUAAGGAUCGUGGAAGAUGACCACGUUGAUAGGCUAUAGAUGUAAAGGCAGUAAUGUCAUAGUCGAGUAGUACUAAUAAUCCGUAAGCUUAUGUACACCC
This 2983-nucleotide ribosomal RNA is filed under the name Flavobacterium cupreum. RNAcentral describes it as "23S ribosomal RNA". It matches the Rfam family "Bacterial large subunit ribosomal RNA". The record is from RNAcentral. Lineage: Bacteria; Pseudomonadati; Bacteroidota; Flavobacteriia; Flavobacteriales; Flavobacteriaceae.